Molecule: ribosomal RNA, 113 nt
Filed under: uncultured eukaryote
Lineage: Eukaryota
Description: partial small subunit ribosomal RNA
Rfam family: Eukaryotic small subunit ribosomal RNA
Source: RNAcentral
UCGCUACUACCGAUUGGACGUUUUGGUGAGAUUCAGGGAAUGUAGCAGCAUGGUGGUUCGCUACCGAGCUGCACGCAUGAACUGACUCAAACCUGAGCGUCUAGAGGAAGUAA